UACGAAGGGGGCUAGCGUUGUUCGGAAUUACUGGGCGUAAAGCGCACGUAGGCGGAUACUUAAGUCAGGGGUGAAAUCCCGGGGCUCAACCCCGGAACUGCCUUUGAUACUGGGUAUCUCGAGUCCGGAAGAGGUGAGUGGAAUUCCGAGUGUAGAGGUGAAAUUCGUAGAUAUUCGGAAGAACACCAGUGGCGAAGGCGACUCACUGGCCCGUUACUGACGCUGAGGCGCGAAAGCGUGGGGAGCAAACAGG
This 253-nucleotide ribosomal RNA is filed under the name uncultured bacterium. RNAcentral describes it as "partial 16S ribosomal RNA". It matches the Rfam family "Bacterial small subunit ribosomal RNA", at positions 524 to 776 of the family's 1533-position model. The record is from RNAcentral.